RNAcentral lists this unclassified non-coding RNA (379 nucleotides) under uncultured Gammaproteobacteria bacterium. Its description in RNAcentral is "contains 16S-23S intergenic spacer region". Lineage: Bacteria; Pseudomonadati; Pseudomonadota; Gammaproteobacteria. The record is from RNAcentral.
UCCAGCUUAUCGCUGGCGGUCUCCUGAGAGUGCUUCCCUUACGGGAGUGGCAACUAGGGACAAGGGUUGCGCUCGUUGCGGGACUUAACCCAACAUCUCACGACACGAGCUGACGACAGCCAUGCAGCACCUGUGUUACGGCUCCCUUUCGGGCACACCCGGCUUUCACCGGGCUCCAGGACAUGUCAAGGGUAGGUAAGGUUUUUCGCGUUGCAUCGAAUUAAUCCACAUAAUCCACCGCUUGUGCGGGUCCCCGUCAAUUCCUUUGAGUUUUAACCUUGCGGCCGUACUCCCCAGGCGGUCAACUUCACGCGUUAGCUUCGUUACCAAGGAAUUGCUUCCCCGACAACCAGUUGACAUAGUUUAGGGCGUGGACUAC